RNAcentral lists this long non-coding RNA (478 nucleotides) under Pongo abelii (Sumatran orangutan). RNAcentral's name for it is "lincRNA". The record is from RNAcentral. Lineage: Eukaryota; Metazoa; Chordata; Mammalia; Primates; Hominidae.
AGUUUUGGAAGAAUGGGAGAGGAGCUUUCCACUCCUCUGAAAGUCAUGUCGAGAGUCUGUCUUAGCCCUCGACCCCUCAGUCUUUGUAGAUCUCAUCCCAGGACCCAAGGGAGAGCACUCAGGACCGGUUCUGGUUUCCUGGUGUGGCCUGGGCCUCCAUCUGGUUUGGAGGCUAUUUUGAUCCACCGGAUGCAGAUUAGCUGCUGCGAUCUGGGGCUGAGCUGCUGGAGAGAUGCCUUUAUCUACAGAAGGACAAUUUGAAAACUAACUCAAAGCAUCGAGAACAAAUAAAUAAAUUCCUCUUUCUGUUCCCAGCACUCUCCAUCCCAUUUCUACAGGAGAAGUUCUGGUCUCUCCUCGGUGCUGCAGCUGCCCCAGGAAGAGUUUUCAGGAGCUGACAAGCAUUCAGAUGAGUAAAGAUGGGAUCGGAUUGAGAAAAGGAGAAGGGAGAGCAUAUUCGUUCUCUUUCUACCUCCCU